CUUUGAUCGAGGAACUUGUGGAACCGGUCAGAAGGGAUGCUGGAGAAUGGUUGUAACCGGUCCAGUACCUUUUCACCUGUAUCUUCAGUGGACAUAAUGCUUUGAGCUGAGAUGAUUCUGAACAGAACUCUGAACUUCAUGUGCGUCCACUCUCCAUCUCCCUCUGUAAGACCACUGGACUUCUGCUGAGACAUUACACAGUGCGGCUCACAGUGGGAGACAAGACCAUUAAGCUGCGGCGGUGGUGUAAAAUUUCCCAGAAUGCAAUGGUCUGAGAAAGGGAGCACUACCUCCGAGGUCUGGUGGUGACAGGCUGGGAUGACAUCACCAACAACUGCAAUGAGAUACCAUCGUAACAUAAAUAAUAUUUUUGUUGACGUUCGAAAUAAAUCAGAUCAGAAGGCAUGUAACUCACAGCUAAGCUGAGAUAUCAUCACAGUCUCAGACGAUCCGGUCCGCCCACUGACCCUCGACAAACCUGACACGACAACUGCCACCCAUGAGUCAACACAGACCGACAGCAAAGAUAUACAGCAAAAACACUACAAUGCAUUUCCUCAUAAAAAUCAUAAUCAAUGCAUUCAUUCCAAAGUUCACGAGUUCAAAUUUGCAUGUUUUUUUGUUUUGUUUUGUGUGUGUGUGUGUGUGAAAGUAAAGACUUUUAUCAUGUUGCGAAACAUUUUAGUUUCAUAUAAAUGUGGUUCUUAUGAUUUUUAUAUUCAGCAAUGAAUAUUGGAGAAAACAAUUUCAUGGUUUCCACCAAAAUAUCAAGCAGCACAACUGCUUUCAACAUUAUGAUAAAAAUAUUUUGUAACAUUAGAAAAAAGUUGGUUAGACUUUAUUUUAAGGUGUCCUUGUU
Long non-coding RNA from Carassius carassius (crucian carp), 859 nucleotides. RefSeq lists it as uncharacterized. The record is from RefSeq and is a predicted model, not a curated record. The transcript is spliced from 3 exons. NCBI's taxonomy places the organism in Eukaryota, Metazoa, Chordata, Actinopteri, Cypriniformes, Cyprinidae.